This 297-nucleotide long non-coding RNA is filed under the name Ananas comosus (pineapple). RNAcentral's name for it is "long non-coding RNA (ACOM_LNC044055)". The record is from RNAcentral. Lineage: Eukaryota; Viridiplantae; Streptophyta; Magnoliopsida; Poales; Bromeliaceae.
UGCCUCCGCCGGUGCCGAAGGCUCUGAAAAGGAAACAUAGAAACAGGGGCGUGAGAACUAUUAAAAUAGUUCCCAGUGGGCAAUUACUGACUUCAGUGAACUGCGCCACAAGGCCCAAAAGCUACAAGAAGAGGUCAGUGACUAUAAAUGUAAUAAUUAGACGGUAAGUAAAAUAUAUCUUACUAUAGCAUAAAGUCUCCACUUAGCAUAAAUAGCAUGAGUACGAAAGCAACUAUGCAUGAAGUAAUAGUCUCCAACUAUCAUAAUGUUCACAAUGCGAAAUAGUAAAAUGCCGAU